This 463-nucleotide ribosomal RNA is filed under the name uncultured bacterium. RNAcentral describes it as "partial 16S ribosomal RNA". It matches the Rfam family "Bacterial small subunit ribosomal RNA", at positions 28 to 507 of the family's 1533-position model. The record is from RNAcentral.
GACGAACGCUGGCGGCGUGCUUAACACAUGCAAGUCGAACGGAAAGGCCUUUUCGGCGGUACUCGAGUGGCGAACGGGUGAGUAACACGUGGGUGAUCUGCCCUGCACUCUGGGAUAAGCCUGGGAAACUGGGUCUAAUACCGGAUAGGACCGCACUUUAGUGUGUGUGGUGGAAAGUUUUUUCGGUGUAGGAUGAGCCCGCGGCCUAUCAGCUUGUUGGUGGGGUAAUGGCCUACCAAGGCGGCGACGGGUAGCCGGACUGAGAGGUUGGUCGGCCACAUUGGGACUGAGAUACGGCCCAGACUCCUACGGGAGGCGGCAGUGGGGAAGAUUGCACAAUGGGCGCAAGCCUGAUGCAGCGACGCCGCGUGGGGGAUGACGGCCUUCGGGUUGAAAACUCAUUUCGCCAGGGACGAAGCGUUUUGUGACGGUACCUGGAGAAGAAGCACCGGCUAACUACGUG